Rosa rugosa (rugosa rose) is the source of this 1469-nucleotide long non-coding RNA. RefSeq lists it as uncharacterized. The transcript is spliced from 3 exons. Lineage: Eukaryota; Viridiplantae; Streptophyta; Magnoliopsida; Rosales; Rosaceae. The record is from RefSeq and is a predicted model, not a curated record.
UGUGCGAAUUGAUUAAAGUGCUUUUGCACGAAUAUUACCCGAAAUAAUUCAACUUUUUGAAUUAUCGAAGUUUCGAAAUAUUCGUUUUAACAAAAGCUCGAAUUGUGCGAUUCAAGAAAAAUCGACUUUUCUACGUACGGAAUUUGGGAAAAACUUCCUUCAUAAAAGUUGUAGAGCUCGUCGAUAUGAUCGCGUGCAUAUGUCGAACGAAAUUUUUGGAGUUCGUACGAUUAUGUUACGAAUUUUGGAAAUAUGAGAUUCUUUUUAUAAUCUCUUUUCCUCGGAUUCUCUUUUAGAAAUUUCUUUUUCUUCCUUUUCCUUUUCCUUUUCCUUUCCUCCGGGUCUCCUUCCUUCUUUUUCUUUUUCUCUUUUUUUUUCUUCUUUCUCUCUCUCGCUCGACCGAAACCGAAAACAGAGCAAAGGCUCUUCGGUCUCUCUCUACCUCCACCGGCCACCAAACGGCGUCGAACCACUUCCUUUUGCUUCGUCUCAGCCUUGCGCAGCUGCCAGAGGCAGCCUUGCACCGUGACACGGCCACCAGCGGCGGCGGGAAGCUCCGCCCGGUUUGAGCUCGUUUUGGAAACAAGCUUGAUAUCUCAAGCUACCGGUCACCAAUCCUCACCAAAAUCCAUCCACAAGCUCGCCUCAACUUCCUGAAACUCCCAGAAGCAGCCUCACACGGCGGCGUGGCCCGUAGCAGUGGCUGCAAGUCAAACCCAACCAAGAACGAGACCGGAGCUAUCGAUCAAGAUAUCUCGAGCUGUAGUGCAUCGUUUUGAUUGAUUCUUUUUCCAGUGGGUUCCCCUUGAUGUUAUUAACAACUCUCUAGAAGGUAUCGAGGCCUGAAAUUGAAGCUUUGACGUCGAAAUCGAGCCUUGCCGGAUUCUGCAAAAUUCUGGAAUUUUUCCGACCACCGAAGCUUUCGAUCGGUAUAUCUCGAGCUACAGACCAUAUUUUUCUGUGAUUCUUGAACCAGUGAGUUCUUCUUGAGUUUCUUAACAACUCUUCAGAAGGAAUCGAAGCCUUAAAUUGACGUUUUUACGUCGAAUUGGAGCUCGCCGUUUUCUGCAGUUUCUCGCCGGUUUCUGGAAAAUUCCGGCCACCUUCAUACUGUUCAAGGUGAUCGACGGUUUGAUUUGGCGGACGAUUCGUGAAAUUGUAUUUUGAGCUGUUAAGAAGACGCAGCGGGAAUUUAGAGCGGGUAAUCCUACAGGACAGGAGAACCAGGACGGUGAUCGUGCGGUUAGAGCAAUGGUUAUAGUUUUACAGCAAUUGUAAUAGUGAGGCGAGUUAAGCUCAUUUGAGCAUUACAAUUUGAUUUGGUGGGAGUGUGCUGUAAUAAAUAACUUGAGGAUUUGGGUUAUUGUAAAUUUGAGAGUUGUGAAGUGUGGUUGUUUGUGAGAAAAAAAUUCAGGAUGUUAGUUGUAAUUUGUUAUUAUUCAUGUUUCGGAUUUGAAUUGAUUAUUCAA